Molecule: unclassified non-coding RNA, 431 nt
Filed under: Hevea brasiliensis (rubber tree)
Lineage: Eukaryota; Viridiplantae; Streptophyta; Magnoliopsida; Malpighiales; Euphorbiaceae
Source: RNAcentral
GUUUGUGCUGGUUUCACCUCCUUUUUGAUGAACCCUAAAAUGCCGUGUAACAGUACCAUGAGCAGCUUCUGCUUCAAUUGUCUUUCCAUCAGGGCAAACCAAUACAGAGGUCAUCAACCCAAGAGAUCCAAAUCCUUGAGCUAAGAAGUCACUCUGAACAUCUCCAUCAUAGUUCUUGCACGCCCAGACAUAACCUCCUUCACUCUUAAGUGCAUAAGCCACCAUAUCAUCGAUGAGACGGUGUUCAUACCAUAUGCCAGCAGCCUCAAACUUUGAUUUCCACUGGGAUUCAUAGACUUCUUGGAAUAUAUCCUUGAAUCUUCCAUCAUAUUUCUUUAGAAUAGUAUUUUUUGUGCUUAGGUAAAGAGGCCAUUUCUUCUCAUAAGCAGUGUUCAUUGAUGCCUCAGCAAAGGAGCGGAUGGACUCAUCAG